RNAcentral lists this ribosomal RNA (253 nucleotides) under uncultured bacterium. RNAcentral's name for it is "partial 16S ribosomal RNA". It matches the Rfam family "Bacterial small subunit ribosomal RNA", at positions 524 to 776 of the family's 1533-position model. The record is from RNAcentral.
UACAGAGGGUGCAAGCGUUGUUCGGAAUUAUUGGGCGUAAAGCGCGUGUAGGCGGCCUUGCAAGUCGGGUGUGAAAUCCCUCAGCUUAACUGAGGAAGUGCGCCCGAAACUGCAGAGCUUGAGUGCCGGAGAGGAUGGCGGAAUUCCCCAAGUAGAGGUGAAAUUCGUAGGUAUGGGGAGGAACACCGGUGGCGAAGGCGGCCAUCUGGCCGGUAACUGACGCUGAGACGCGAAAGCAUGGGGAGCAAACAGG